Cebus imitator (Panamanian white-faced capuchin) is the source of this 101-nucleotide long non-coding RNA. RefSeq lists it as uncharacterized. NCBI's taxonomy places the organism in Eukaryota, Metazoa, Chordata, Mammalia, Primates, Cebidae. The transcript is spliced from 3 exons. The record is from RefSeq and is a predicted model, not a curated record.
GAACUUCUCCUUUUGAGAACAUGUGUACUUUGAUUUUACCGGUCCUCAAACUGACCCUUUGCUCAUUAUAAUAGUAAAAACACACCCCUGGGUGGAGAUUU